This 497-nucleotide ribosomal RNA is filed under the name uncultured bacterium. RNAcentral describes it as "partial 16S ribosomal RNA". It matches the Rfam family "Bacterial small subunit ribosomal RNA", at positions 28 to 507 of the family's 1533-position model. The record is from RNAcentral.
GACGAACGCUGGCGGCGUGCCUAAUACAUGCAAGUUGAGCGCUGAAGGUUGGUACUUGUACCAACUGGAUGAGCAGCGAACGGGUGAGUAACGCGUGGGGAAUCUGCCUUUGAGCGGGGGACAACAUUUGGAAACGAAUGCUAAUACCGCAUAAAAACUUUAAACACAAGUUUUAAGUUUGAAAGAUGCAAUUGCAUCACUCAAAGAUGAUCCCGCGUUGUAUUAGCUAGUUGGUGAGGUAAAGGCUCACCAAGGCGAUGAUACAUAGCCGACCUGAGAGGGUGAUCGGCCACAGUGGGACUGAGACACGGCCCAAACUCCUACGGGAGGCAGCAGUAGGGAAUCUUUGGCAAGGGACGGAAGUCUGACCGAGCAACGCCGCGUGGGUGAAGAAGGUUUUCGGAUCGUAAAACUCUGUUGGUAGAGAAGAACGUUGGUGAGAGUGGAACGCUCAUCAAGUGACGGUAACUACACAGAAAGGGACGGCUAACUACGUG